Molecule: ribosomal RNA, 460 nt
Filed under: uncultured bacterium
Lineage: Bacteria
Description: partial 16S ribosomal RNA
Rfam family: Bacterial small subunit ribosomal RNA
Source: RNAcentral
CCUACGGGGAGCAGCAGUGAGGAAUAUUGGUCAAUGGACGAGAGUCUGAACCAGCCAAGUAGCGUGAAGGAUGACUGCCCUAUGGGUUGUAAACUUCUUUUAUAUGGGAAUAAAAUGUUCCACGUGUGGGAUUUUGUAUGUACCAUAUGACUAAGGAUCGGCUAACUCCGUGCCAGCAGCCGCGGUAAUACGGAGGAUCCGAGCGUUAUCCGGAUUUAUUGGGUUUAAAGGGAGCGUAGGUGGAUUGUUAAGUCAGUUGUGAAAGUUUGCGGCUCAACCGUAAAAUUGCAGUUGAAACUGGCAGUCUUGAGUACAGUAGAGGUGGGCGGAAUUCGUGGUGUAGCGGUGAAAUGCUUAGAUAUCACGAAGAACUCCGAUUGCGAAGGCAGUUCACUGGACUGCAACUGACACUGAGGCUCGAAAGUGUGGGUAUCAAACAGGAUUAGAUACCCUAGUAGUC